UGGGGAAUAUUGGGCAAUGGAGGAAACUCUGACCCAGCAACGCCGCGUGAAGGAUGAAGGUCUUCGGAUUGUAAACUUCUGUCGCAGGGGACGAAGAAUGACGGUACCCUGUAAGAAAGCCACGGCAAACUACGUGCCAGCAGCCGCGGUAAUACGUAGGUGGCAAGCGUUGUCCGGAAUGACUGGGCGUAAAGGGAGUGUAGGCGGUUAAUUAAGUUAUAUGUGAAAGCCCCGGGCUUAACUCGGGAACUGCAUAUAAUACUGGUUGACUAGAGUGUGGGAGAGGUAAGUGGAAUUCCUAGUGUAGCGGUGGAAUGCGUAGAUAUUAGGAGGAACACCAGUGGCGAAGGCGGCUUACUGGACCACAACUGACGCUGAGGCUCGAAAGCGUGGGGAGCAAACA
Molecule: ribosomal RNA, 403 nt
Filed under: uncultured Eubacteriales bacterium
Lineage: Bacteria; Bacillati; Bacillota; Clostridia; Eubacteriales
Description: uncultured Clostridiales bacterium partial 16S ribosomal RNA
Rfam family: Bacterial small subunit ribosomal RNA
Source: RNAcentral